This 434-nucleotide ribosomal RNA is filed under the name uncultured bacterium. RNAcentral's name for it is "partial 16S ribosomal RNA". It matches the Rfam family "Bacterial small subunit ribosomal RNA", at positions 29 to 507 of the family's 1533-position model. The record is from RNAcentral.
AGCGAACGCUGGCGGCAGGCCUAACACAUGCAAGUCGAACGAACCUUUCGGGGUUAGUGGCGGACGGGUGAGUAACACGUGGGAACGUGCCUUUAGGUUCGGAAUAACUCAGGGAAACUUGUGCUAAUACCGAAUGUGCCCUUCGGGGGAAAGAUUAAUCGCCUUUAGAGCGGCCCGCGUCUGAUUAGCUAGUUGGUUGAGGUAAUGGCUCACCAAGGCGACGAUCAGUAGCUGGUCUGAGAGGAUGAUCAGCCACAUUGGGACUGAGACACGGCCCAAACUCCUACGGGAGGCAGCAGUGGGGUAUCUUGCGCAAUGGGCGAAAGCCUGACGCAGCCAUGCCGCGUGAAUGAUGAAGGUCUUAGGAUUGUAAAAUUCUUUCACCGGGGACGAUAAUGACGGUACCCGGAGAAGAAGCCCCGGCUAACUUCGUG